Arachis stenosperma is the source of this 164-nucleotide long non-coding RNA. RefSeq lists it as uncharacterized. The record is from RefSeq and is a predicted model, not a curated record. Lineage: Eukaryota; Viridiplantae; Streptophyta; Magnoliopsida; Fabales; Fabaceae. The transcript has 3 exons.
AUGGCAGUGGUGUUAUGCUCUAAUGGCUUCGGGAUCCGAUGAUGCUCUUAAGAGUGUUGGUUUAGUCUUAGCAGGACUUACCAACUGAAUCUGGAACUGUGAUCCCCUAUGUUCACUUGAUGAAACAAGCUCACAAGAUUUUGAGGACAGUUAUAUAGUCUUGU